UAAACUUUCAAAUUUCAAAAUUAUUUUCAAAAUAUAAAACCAAACAAAUUAAAAAAAAAUUUAAACUUUCUUCUCAAACUUUUUUUUUUGAAAAUUUAUCUCAACAAGAUUAACCAAACGCACACUUUUAUCUUCCAGUUAAUUUUUGUUUUAUUAUUGAAUAUGUUUAAUCCAAAAUCGAUGUCGUUUUGGAGUCAUCUCUCUAACCCAAGUCUCUUCUCGAGUGUGAAAGCUUCCAGCAAAGGACCUCUGCAAACAAAAGGCAUCGUCGUCAAUACAUGCUCUACAAUCCCAGAUUCAAAUCUUGAUUAUGGAAAAUGGACAUCAUAAUAAUGUUAUGAGAUUUAGGGAGUGGCUCCAUCAUCCCAGUCGAACUUUUGCUGAUAUUUGGGAUGUUUAUGGUAACAGAGUUAUCGGACUCAGUGAAUCAUUGAUUGAACUAUUCAAUGGAGUUAUUGAAAUGUUGAAUGAUAUUCACGAAAGGAGUGUUUUUAAUGGUAAUCUGUUGGAAAAUUUAAGGAUUAGUAGUAUAACAGUUGGGUUAAGGUUAACUUGGAAAGUAGAGUUCGUUAACAACCCUCCCCCAAAUCUUAUUGACCCGAUCAAAGGGAUUAUAGCUGAUGUUCAACACUUGAGAUACAUGGUUUAUUCAGUUAAGUUUCGGUUUCCUUUAAAUGUUCCCUAUCUCUAUCCUGAUGCCUGGCUUCUCUAUCUUAAACCAUUAUAUGGGUUUGACCAACCCUAUGCUGUUAAUGGUUUUGACCAACGCCAUGAGUACGACUCUUGUCUUCGGUAUGUCAAGAAAGUUGCAUUUUACAAUUAUUCUCAUCCGCUUUUUUUCGACAAAGUGAAAAUGGCGCACUUCAUUUAUAAGGUUUAUGAAAUACGAAAGAGGAAUCCACAAAUGUUCAACCGUCUGGUUCGUUUAGAUCAAACCACCCCUCUCACUAACAUGACUGAUUGGCUGGCUGCAAUUCCAAUUAAUCCUUUUUUACCAGAUGGGGAUAUCAAUCAGCCGCCCCUGCGACAAGUUCUGUAUGACCGAGCACUGUAUGACAGCCAAGGACAACCACUUUUUCGGGAUAAUUAUCAAUUUCCCAAUGACGUUGUAACGUAUUUGAGGACCGUCUGCGAGCAUGCAAGGGAUAUCAAUCGUGAUGUUUGGUCUGGAAAAAUUCUCAAGGAGCUUCACCAAGUUCUGCCUGACGCCUUGCCCAAGAUACAUUUUCUACUGUGUUCUAAAUUCGACGAUCAGAUUUGCUUAACUCAUUUUAGUGCUAACCAUAUGGUGAAAUUGAUGAGGCACGGUCCUUUUGGCUACAAGGGACUCAAGCUUUGAAUUGAGAAUUGCAUCGAAUGAAUAGAUUCAGAAAGAACACAAGCAUUGACUUCCAUAGCAAUUUCUUCAAUCCAACCUCUCGUCUCUUCUUCACGCUGUGCCAAUCGAGCAAGUUAUGGCAUGGAUCACAGUGAUUGCAAGAGAGGUUCGAAGAUGGAGACCUAUGAAAGACAUGAGGAGAAGAGCUAAUUCUUACGGAAAAUGGAGACCUAUGAAAGACAUGAGGAGAAGAGCUAAUUCUUACAAAAAAUGGAGACCUAUGAAAGACAUAAGGAGAAAAGCUAAUUCUUACGGAAAAUUCAUAUAGAACGAUGUGGCAGUGACUUUAUCGCAAUUAAUUGUCAUUUUGGUUUUUUUUUUUUUUUUUGAAGUGAUAGUCUUGCAAUUCAGCUGUAUAAGAUAUAAGAUUUUUGUAUAUAUUUUUAUGUUUGUAUGUAUAUAUAUAUAUACAAGAAAGGGAAAAACAUUACACUUGCACAACAUGACUCUUGUAUCUCUCUCACACUAAAAAAGGGAAAAAAAAAAUCACUCUUGUAUAGGGUUAUAUAUUUUGGAUGUUUAGUUGUUUAUAGGAAUUUUUUUUUCUUUAUUCGAAUAUAGAGAUUAAUAUUUAAGACAAUUUUUUAAUA
Non-coding RNA from Camellia sinensis, 1968 nucleotides. The record is from RefSeq and is a predicted model, not a curated record. Lineage: Eukaryota; Viridiplantae; Streptophyta; Magnoliopsida; Ericales; Theaceae.